UCGGGGAAGGAUCGGCCCGCGUUGGAUUAGGUAGUUGGUGGGGUAAUGGCCUACCAAGCCGACGAUCCAUAGCUGGUUUGAGAGGAUGACCAGCCACACUGGGACUGAGACACGGCCCAG
RNAcentral lists this ribosomal RNA (120 nucleotides) under uncultured bacterium. RNAcentral describes it as "partial 16S ribosomal RNA". It matches the Rfam family "Bacterial small subunit ribosomal RNA", at positions 215 to 334 of the family's 1533-position model. The record is from RNAcentral.